This 2563-nucleotide unclassified non-coding RNA is filed under the name Hevea brasiliensis (rubber tree). Lineage: Eukaryota; Viridiplantae; Streptophyta; Magnoliopsida; Malpighiales; Euphorbiaceae. The record is from RNAcentral.
UAAAAGAAAGAAAAAGCAGAAAUAAUUAUUCAUAUAUCUAUAAAUAUUUCCAUGGGAAACAAAGCUCAAUGGGUAUGGCCCAAUUAUGAUAAUUGCUAUAAGAAAAGAUACCCCAAUUAUGAUGAAGAGCUUUGCAUUAUACGAAUUACGAAGGGAGUGUCUAUUUCCUGUUAACAUCAAAUCCCUGUUUCUGGUGCGUGAUUCGAUUUCUCCCAUUCUAACCCCUUAGAGUUUGCUUUUCGUGCUUGAACAGGAGACUGUCACCAACUCAACCAAGACUAGGAAGAUGGUCAACUAUAAGACCUUUGAAUUUGCUUCUUUUGAGAACAAGGCUUGCGUGAGGGCUCAAGUUAAGUUGAAGACUGCCAUAAAAAUGUGAAACACAAUUUUAACGUAAGAAAACACUUUUCUGGUCUUACAUCACGUCAUAAGGAUCAAGAUUUUGGAAAUAAAGUUGAUACUUCAACCUUGCAAUUUCCAAUAAUAUAAGCAAAACACUGCCUUCCUGCCACUGAAUUGUAUUAUAAACUACAACAGGCAAAAAUAAGGUCAAGUUUUUUUACAGAAGCAAGAAAUUUUGACUUUGUAUUAGACCAAAAGCAGAUUGUUGAGUGGAGAAAUUGCCACCCAUACAAAUCUGCUUUGAGGUCAACAUAACUUCCCGAGUUGAUAUAUAAAUUCUAAUGCCACCCUCUACAAUGACCCAAAAGGAGAAAGGGGGGGAAAAAUCAAACAAGCAAGAAUUAACAAAUUCACCCGUUGAAUCAUAGAGUCCGGAGGAAGAGCAAAAGAAUAUGGCCACAAAUACCUUCCGAGCUUCUCUCUAGCUUUUGAUCUUCAGCUCUGACUCUCAGAUUUAUACCCCAAUUGAUUUUACAUGCUCAAAAGCAUCCACUUGUUUCAUCCUGGAACUGUAAUAUUGCGGAACUCACGUCUCUGUCCCCUCUUCAACUGUUGGAAGACUACCCUCUUUGACAAAGGCUGGAUUAAGAAACUUGGAAACAAAACCCCAUAAUUUGUAAACGUCCUCGAAGUUGGUGAGAAAUCCCAGAGAUGCAGUGACCACCUCAAUCCUCAUAAACCCACCUUUUCCAUUAUGUUGCCCAUUUUCCAUUGGCCUACAUAGAGUCGUAUCUUCAAGGCUCAAAGCACCAUGCUGCGGUUUUGUACUAUCCAAUAUCCGUAUGUGACUAAGAAAACCAAUGCCAAGAGAGAUACCUUCUCUUUCAGCAAGCUUCUGAACAACUUCUGGAUUUAUCAGCCCAUGGUUUCUAUCUCUAAUGUUGAAAGCUACAGCUGCGCCCCUUUCAUAUUUUAUUUUUGGGCCAUAGAUGUGAACAAGAAGCACUCUUCCUUCCCCAUCUGGGCUGGGAAACCUUAGUUGAAGUAAUGAGGUCACAAGCCAAUUGAUCAAAAAUCUCAGCCUGAUUGUGGUUUUAUUGAGACCCAACAUAUUCACAUGAUCCAAAUGCCGGCAAAUAAUCUCAGGUUCCCUCCUAUCCCACUCUUGUCCAUCUCCAUAUUCCCCAUCACUGGUGUACUCUUCAUCAUCCAGGCUCGUUACAGAUACUUCUCCUGGCUCCAGAGUAUGAGUCAUACGUUCUUUACGGUUGUCCUCCAUACUAAACGACACCCUUCUUCCCCUGCUCGGAUGUUCAUUCUCUUCCAACCCAAAAAAUCUACCACCAGCGUAUCUAUUCCCUUCCCUUCUUCCCAACAACCUGAAUUCACCUUCUGUUUCUCUUCUUAUAGCACUCUCUUUCAUCUCUGAGCCAAUUGCUGAGGUUGAGCCAUUUGCUAGGCUAUGAUGCGCAGCAGUCAAUGUUGAAUUAUUAAGCCGAGAUCCAUUUACAUCAUAAUUUGACAAAGAACCAGCUGAAAGUGCAUUGCUUGUUCCAGGUUCUUCCUCAAUCUCUUGAACAUGUGGAUGAUCAAAACCCUUUCUACCAUUUCGCGGAGUGCAGUUUGUUUCUGCAAAUUGUUCUUCUUCAGGGACCUCUUUAACACGGUCUAAUUCCUGUGAAACAGACAUAACUGCAGCAUCAAAUGACAGCAUAUGGUGGUCAUCGUGUGGCCCCCCCUUGUCAUCAUACAUUGGGCUGCCAUAUAUCUUUGAUGUUGGUUUUGGAGAGAGUCGCUUGUGGUUCUUCUUGCCAGAAAACCAGAAAGGUGGUAGAGGAGAGGACAUUUUCUGUUUGUUAAACUGACCUGCGGUAUCUGACCCCAAUGGACUUUGACCCAAAUCAAUCCAGAAUGAGUUGUCUGAUGAUUCAUCUUCACUAAAGACCGGGCUUUUCAUUACUUCACCAACUGAAAUACUUUCAGUUUCUUCAAAUAUAGUGCUCGUCCCAUCUCUAUCAGAACUGUUGUCCUGUUCCAUUUCCGUCUCAAAUACAUCCCUCACCUGAGAAGAAGUGAAUGCACCAGAAAAUGCAGGCAACUGUGAUCCUGGGCGAGUUUCUGUGGUUGUUUCAGCAUUCCCAGCAACUUCAUCAUCUUCAAUGCCAAACCAUCAACAGGAUCACUCAAAUAUAAUGGAUAUUCAAAUGUGAUUUUACCAUUC